UGGGGAAUCUUGGACAAUGGGCGAAAGCCUGAUCCAGCCAUGCCGCGUGAGUGACGAAGGUCUUCGGAUUGUAAAGCUCUUUUGGCGGGGACGAUAAUGACGGUACCCGCAGAAUAAGCCCCGGCUAACUUCGUGCCAGCAGCCGCGGUAAUACGUAGGGACCAAGCGUUGUUCGGAUUUACUGGGCGUAAAGGGCGCGUAGGCGGCAAUUCAAGUCAUCUGUGAAAUCUCCGGGCUUAACUCGGAACGGUCAGAUGAUACUGCUUUGCUAGAGUGCAGAAGGGGCAAUCGGAAUUCUUGGUGUAGCGGUGAAAUGCGUAGAUAUCAAGAGGAACACCUGAGGUGAAGACGGGUUGCUGGGCUGACACUGACGCUGAGGCGCGAAAGCCAGGGGAGCAAACGGGAUUAGAUACCCAAGUAGUCCCUGAGCGGGCUGGCAAGGCGCAU
Molecule: ribosomal RNA, 447 nt
Filed under: uncultured bacterium
Lineage: Bacteria
Description: bacterial SSU rRNA
Rfam family: Bacterial small subunit ribosomal RNA
Source: RNAcentral